This 467-nucleotide ribosomal RNA is filed under the name uncultured bacterium. RNAcentral's name for it is "partial 16S ribosomal RNA". It matches the Rfam family "Bacterial small subunit ribosomal RNA", at positions 28 to 507 of the family's 1533-position model. The record is from RNAcentral.
GAUGAACGCUGGCGGCGUGCUUAACACAUGCAAGUCGAACGGAAAGGCCCAAGCUUGCUUGGGUACCCGAGUGGCGAACGGGUGAGUAACACGUGGGUGAUCUGCCCUGCACUUCGGGAUAAGCCUGGGAAACUGGGUCUAAUACCGGAUAGGACCACUUCUUGGAUGUUGUGGUGGAAAGUUUUUUCGGUGUGGGAUGAGCUCGCGGCCUAUCAGCUUGUUGGUGGGGUAAUGGCCUACCAAGGCGUCGACGGGUAGCCGGCCUGAGAGGGUGUACGGCCACAUUGGGACUGAGGUACGGCCCAGACUCCUACGGGAGGCAGCAGUGGGGAAUAUUGCACAAUGGGCGCAAGCCUGAUGCAGCGACGCCGCGUGGGGGAUGACGGCCUUCGGGUUGUAAACUCCUUUCGCUAGGGACGAAGCGUUUUGUGACGGUACCUGGAGAAGAAGCACCGGCUAACUACGUG